CCACUACUCCCUCCGUCCCAAAAUACUUGUCAGAGAAAUUGAUAUAAAUGGAUGUAUCUAGAACUAAAAUAUGUCUAGAUACAUCCAUUUCUCCGACGAGUAUUUCCAGACGGAGGGAGUAUGAU
Molecule: non-coding RNA, 125 nt
Organism: Triticum aestivum (bread wheat)
Lineage: Eukaryota; Viridiplantae; Streptophyta; Magnoliopsida; Poales; Poaceae
Source: Rfam